GAUGAAGAACGUAGCGAAAUGCGGUAAGUAGUGUGAAUUGCAGAAUUCAGUGAAUCAUCGAAUCUUUGAACGCACAUUGCGCCCCUUGGUAUCCCGAGGGGCAUGCCUGUUCGAGCGUCAUUUCACCACUCAAGCCUGGCUUGGUGUUGGGCGACGUCCCCUUUGGGGACGCGCCUCGAAACGCUCGGCGGCGUGGCACCGGCUUUAAGCGUAGCAGAAUCUUUCGCUUUGGAAGUCGGGGCCCCGUCUGCCGGAAGACCUACUCGCAAGGUUGACCUCGGAUCAGGCAGGGAUACCCGCUGAACUUAAGCAUAUCAAUAAGCGGAGGA
This 329-nucleotide unclassified non-coding RNA is filed under the name soil metagenome. Its description in RNAcentral is "partial contains 5.8S ribosomal RNA, internal transcribed spacer 2, and large subunit ribosomal RNA". The stretch from base 1 to 120 matches the Rfam family "5.8S ribosomal RNA", at positions 35 to 154 of the family's 154-position model. The record is from RNAcentral.